This 433-nucleotide ribosomal RNA is filed under the name uncultured bacterium. RNAcentral describes it as "partial 16S ribosomal RNA". It matches the Rfam family "Bacterial small subunit ribosomal RNA", at positions 29 to 507 of the family's 1533-position model. The record is from RNAcentral.
AACGAACGCUGGCGGCAUGCCUAACACAUGCAAGUCGAACGAGACCUUCGGGUCUAGUGGCGCACGGGUGCGUAACGCGUGGGAACCUGCCCUUAGGUUCGGAAUAACUCCCCGAAAGGGGUGCUAAUACCGGAUAAUGUCUUCGGACCAAAGAUUUAUCGCCUUUGGAUGGGCCCGCGUUGGAUUAGCUAGUUGGUAGGGUAAAAGCCUACCAAGGCGACGAUCCAUAGCUGGUCUGAGAGGAUGAUCAGCCACACUGGGACUGAGACACGGCCCAGACUCCUACGGGAAGCAGCAGUGGGGAAUAUUGGACAAUGGGCGAAAGCCUGAUCCAGCAAUGCCGCGUGAGUGAUGAAAGCCUUAGGGUUGUAAAGCUCUUUUACCCGGGAUGAUAAUGACAGUACCGGGAGAAUAAGCUCCGGCUAACUCCGUG